RNAcentral lists this ribosomal RNA (116 nucleotides) under Paramormyrops kingsleyae. Lineage: Eukaryota; Metazoa; Chordata; Actinopteri; Osteoglossiformes; Mormyridae. The record is from RNAcentral.
GUCGGUGGCCAUACCACCUUCAGUUUUGACUAGGUAAUCUGUCAGAAGCUAUGCAGGUUUGUGCCUGAUCAGUACUUAUAUGGGAGACCAACUAGGAAAGCUGGUUGAUGUGGACA